UACGUAGGGGGCAAGCGCUGUCCGGAAUCAUUGGGCGUAAAGAGCGCGUAGGCGGUCCGGUAAGUCCGCUCUGAAAGUCCGGGGCUCAACCCCGGGAGGCGGGCGGAUACUGUCGGGCUAGAGUCCGGAAGAGGCGAGUGGAAUUCCUGGUGUAGCGGUGAAAUGCGCAGAUAUCAGGAGGAACACCAAUGGCGAAGGCAGCUCGCUGGGACGUUACUGACGCUGAGACGCGAAAGCGUGGGGAGCAAACAGG
RNAcentral lists this ribosomal RNA (253 nucleotides) under uncultured bacterium. Its description in RNAcentral is "partial 16S ribosomal RNA". It matches the Rfam family "Bacterial small subunit ribosomal RNA", at positions 524 to 776 of the family's 1533-position model. The record is from RNAcentral.